Molecule: long non-coding RNA, 316 nt
Filed under: Bos taurus (domestic cattle)
Lineage: Eukaryota; Metazoa; Chordata; Mammalia; Artiodactyla; Bovidae
Description: long non-coding RNA NONBTAT017185
Source: RNAcentral
AUGAUGAAUGGACAUUAACACGUGGACUCUCUAGUUGGCCACCACCACUCCCUACUCAAAUGCACACCAACCUAAGAAGGCUCCGUGGGGUCGUAUCCUCAUUCCAGGGAGCCUGAUUCAAUCUCCUGUCCUCUCUACCGCCCCCCACCCCCGCCCCGCUCCCCUUCUCAACAUUCCCGCUCCUUUCCCCUCCUAGUCCAAAGCCAUCCCUGAGCCGGAUACUCUCCUAAACCAGCCUAGGAAAAAGUGACUCAACUCAGAUCCACCCUGGGCACAGGGGCAUGGGUUUAUAACAGCAAACGUAUGCUGUCAUGCC